GAUCAGCACUUGGGGUGGUCCAGGAGGGGAUGGAGGGUUGGUUGGGGGGGUCUCAGGAGGGGUUGUAGGGUGGGUUUGGGUGGUCCAGGAGGGGUUGUCAUUAGACGCACCUGGCAUCCAUCAUUAGACGCACCUGACAUCCAUCAUUAGACGAACCUGGCAUCAAUCAUUAGACGCACCUGGCAUCAAUCAUUAGACACACCUGGCAUCCAUCAUUAGAUGCACCUGGCAUCAAUCAUUACACGCACCUGGCAUCCAUCAUUAGACGCACCUGGCAUCAAUCAUUAGAUGCACCUGGCAUCAAUCAUUAGACGGGUUUGGCAUCCAUCAUUAGACGCACCUGGCAUCCAUCAUUAGACGCACCUGGCAUCCAUCAUUAGACGCACCUGGCAUAAAUCAUUAGACGCACCUGGCAUCAAUCAUUAGACACACCUGGCAUCCAUCAUUAGAUGCACCUGGCAUCAAUCAUUACACGCACCUGGCAUCCAUCAUUAGACGCACCUGGCAUCAAUCAUUAGAUGCACCUGGCAUCAAUCAUUAGACGCACCUGGCAUCCAUCAUUAGACGCACCUGGCAUCCAUCAUAAGAAGCACCUGGCAUUAAUCAUUAGACGCAACUGCGCUUCAUCAUGAGGCACACCUGGACUCCAUUACCUCACUCAUUACCUCCCCUUUAUCUGGCACUACCUUAGGUUCAUUCCCAUCAGUAUUGACUAUGGCAUUCAUGUCUGUAGGUUACUCUUGUUCCCCAGGCAGUAUUGACUAUGGUUCAUGUCUGUAGGUUACUCUUGUUCCCCAGGCAGUAUUGACUAUGUUUCAUGUCUGUAGGUUACUCUUGUUCCCCAGGCAGUAUUGACUAUGUUUCAUGUCUGUAGGUUACUCUUGUUCCCCAGGCAGUAUUAACUAUGUUUCAUGUCUGUAGGUUACUCUUGUUCCCCAGGCAGUAUUGACUAUGUUUCAUGUCUGUAGGUUACUCUUGUUCCCCAGGCAGUAUUGACUAUGUUUCAUGUCUGUAGGUUACUCUUGUUCCCAGGCAGUAUUAACUAUGUUUCAUGUCUGUAGGUUACUCUUGUUCCCCAGGCAGUAUUGACUAUGUUUCAUGUCUGUAGGUUACUCUUGUUCCCCAGGCAGUAUUGACUAUGGUUCAUGUCUGUAGGUUACUCUUGUUUCCUGUAUUGGUCCAUAUUCCGUUUAUUAUUAAACUCACCACUUGCUUCCA
Molecule: long non-coding RNA, 1218 nt
Organism: Oncorhynchus gorbuscha (pink salmon)
Lineage: Eukaryota; Metazoa; Chordata; Actinopteri; Salmoniformes; Salmonidae
Exons: 2
Source: RefSeq, a predicted model, not a curated record